RNAcentral lists this long non-coding RNA (209 nucleotides) under Elaeis guineensis (African oil palm). Its description in RNAcentral is "long non-coding RNA (EGUI_LNC017159)". The record is from RNAcentral. Lineage: Eukaryota; Viridiplantae; Streptophyta; Magnoliopsida; Arecales; Arecaceae.
GAGUUGGAAGGGAAGAAGACUCCGAUUAGGAGUCUUCUUCCUCCUUUCUUUCGUGGGUCCUAUGGGCUCAUCGAGAUUUUGUCAAGCCCAAGAGCUCUGUGGGCUGGGCCAUUACAAUUUUUCUGGAAAGAAAAAAGAGUUAUUGUGUAUGCAACAUAUAAAUCAUUGUUAAAUGUAACAGGCAAUAGCCCAACUUAUAUAACUCGGAA